This is a long non-coding RNA of Cottoperca gobio, 620 nucleotides long. RefSeq lists it as uncharacterized. Lineage: Eukaryota; Metazoa; Chordata; Actinopteri; Perciformes; Bovichtidae. The transcript has 3 exons. The record is from RefSeq and is a predicted model, not a curated record.
AGAGCCUCAUCCUGAUACUCCCCAGUUUUGUUGCGUAUCGCGGAGCUGCAGAUCCGGCUGGAUGUGUGUCGCACUGGAUACAGAAAACACGCUCCUGCUAUUACAAACUGGAUGUGUGUGUGUGCGUGUGUGCGUGUGUGUGUGUGUGUGUGGGUGUGUGUUGGUUUAGUCAUGAAUUACACCUGAGCCGGGCAUGUAGUUUGCCGGGUUCCUGGGCGUGGGGAGCACGAAGGAAGCAGCUUCUUCUUGUGUUUGUUGGAAUAUUGUUGGAGUGAAACUUCAGCAGUGACUGCAGCAGCUGCGCAGCGCGACGCACGACGCACGUUGUUUCUGCUCCGCUCUGCCUCGAUCACAUCACUUUCAUCACACCAGGAUGUACAUUUGGGAACUUUUUAUUUUGGAAGCACCGUGGACACAGAGGACGAGUUUUAUUUUCUAAGUUUUGAUUCCUUGUUUUGGGGGAAUACAGACAGAAAACACGGCUGUGCAGUGAGAGGGGCAUCCAGAGGAGAGGAGAGCGAGGUUGUUGAUGUCCUCAGAGAUCAACCGGCCUGAACACUGAACAGGAGAGCGAGGUGGUUCAUGUCAUCAGAGACCAACAGGCCCGAACACUAAACAGG